RNAcentral lists this ribosomal RNA (490 nucleotides) under uncultured bacterium. RNAcentral describes it as "partial 16S ribosomal RNA". It matches the Rfam family "Bacterial small subunit ribosomal RNA", at positions 30 to 507 of the family's 1533-position model. The record is from RNAcentral.
AUUGAACGCUGGCGGCAGGCCUAACACAUGCAAGUCGAACGGUAACAGGAAGCAGCUUGCUGCUUUGCUGACGAGUGGCGGACGGGUGAGUAAUGUCUGGGAAACUGCCUGAUGGAGGGGGAUAACUACUGGAAACGGUAGCUAAUACCGCAUAAUGUCGCAAGACCAAAGAGGGGGACCUUCGGGCCUCUUGCCAUCGGAUGUGCCCAGGUGGGAUUAGCUAGUAGGUGGGGUAAAGGCUCACCUAGGCGACGAUCCCUAGCUGGUCUGAGAGGAUGACCAGCCACACUGGAACUGAGACACGGUCCAGACUCCUACGGGAGGCAGCAGUGGGGAAUAUUGCACAAUGGGCGCAAGCCUGAUGCAGCCAUGCCGCGUGUAUGAAGAAGGCCUUCGGGUUGUAAAGUACUUUCAGCGGGGAGGAAGGGAGUAAAGUUAAUACCUUUGCUCAUUGACGUUACCCGCAGAAGAAGCACCGGCUAACUCCGUG